RNAcentral lists this long non-coding RNA (1923 nucleotides) under Gallus gallus (chicken). Lineage: Eukaryota; Metazoa; Chordata; Aves; Galliformes; Phasianidae. The record is from RNAcentral.
GAGGGUUCUGCUGGGGACAUACUGGAUGCUGCUCUGUGUAACAAAAUUGCAGCAUUGGGCAUCAGAUGGUUGGAGGCAGAAGGUACGGGGAAGAAAUCCAUGACAAUGAUUUUGUUUGUUCAGGACAUUUGAAUUUUUUUAAAAUCGGCAAAUAAAGACAACAUAAUUAGUUAACAACAAACUGCAUUUGUUUAGCCCGCAAGACUGAAGAACCGGCAUCAUUAAAACAGCACCUGUGGGUUUUUGUUUUGUUUUGUUUUUGUUUUGUUUUUUAAUUACCACAUUUUGGAGACGGAGGUAUACAUUUUAAUUUUCCGCCUUUUUAAAACCGGCGUCAAAGUUUAACAAGUUGAUAUUUACGAGAGAGGAGACGUUAAUUUCUGGCAGAAACCCCUCCCGAACAUCUCCGGCUGCACGAGGUGCACCGCUAGGUGGCACAGCCCACUUACAGAUCGCUGCCCUGUGCUCCCGUGCUGCCCGGGGCUGGGUGUGCCGCAAUCACAGCUCACAGAAAUGUAUAAACAAGCCAGAGAAGCGGCCAGCAUGAAAAAUUGCGAUGGAGGCAGGAAGACUUUUCAGGUAUCAGUCUUGAAUCCUGCUGGCAAACCGAGGUGGAGGCCUUGAUGUGGAAGAGAAAUAAAUGAUUCUUCUGUUUCAGGCAAAAUACAUAUGAAAUUUUUCAUACUACACUGUGGAUGCAUCAUGGAUGCUUGGACUACAGGACAAGAGCUUGUCAGGCCAUUCUCUGCAGAAAGAGUGCCUCUACCUCCAUGUCCAGGAGUGGAGUGAACGUCAUCAGUCACUGAAAACCACCCCAAGCACCCACAGAUCCACAUAAUGGUUGACUUCCAGAGGGACAUCUUGGACCCAGGUGUCCCAGGACUGGCUUCCAUUAUGGCAGAAGCAGGACUACAGCCCACAGCUGCUGGCGGAGUGAAGACUCCCACUGUGCUGUUCUGUUUCAGCAUAAUGUACCUGGUUUGUGCUUCCUCCUGAACUCUAAUGCUUUAAGCAGUUAGAUUCAACACUUUGAAAGGGUAGAUAACAGUGGAAUAAGGGGAAAUGUUUUUAAGUUGAAGGAGGGAAGAUUUAGGUUGAAUGUCAAGGGGAAGUUCUUUACUGUGAGAGUGGUGAGGUGAUGGAACAGGUUGCCCAGAGAGGCUGUGGAUGCCAUGUCUCUGGAGGUGUUCAAGGCCAGGUUGGAUGGGGCCCUCGGUAGCCUGGUCUGGAAUUAAAUGUGGAGGUUGGUGGCCCUGCCUGUGGUGGCGGGGUUGGAGCUUCAUGAUCCUUGAGGUGCCUUCCAACCUGGGCCAUUCUGUAAUUCUGUGAUUUACUUAAUGCAUGCACCAGUAAUCUGGGAUUUGAACAACUUUCAGAAUUUGGACAGCAGUAUCAAAACCACACACAGUUUUUUUAGCAGGACAAUUGGUUGUUAAUGAUUACUUAGACAAAACAAAAAGCAAACUUAAGGAUCACAAUAAAUAAUUUCAAGAUAACUGGACUGUUUUCUAUUUAGUGACAUCAGACAGGUGCAUGAGCUGUUUCUGUUUAAAAAUAUACAUUCUUUCACUUGUCUGUACAAUGGACUUCUGUACAUAAGGAUAUGACCUUCACUUUAAAGUAGUAAAGUAGUGGCAUUUCAGUGUGUAUAGCUCCUUGUUUUCACAACAUAGUUUACCGCUUUGCAAUUACAGCAUUUUUUUUUCCCCUGUGAGUAUAGAAUUUCAGCCUGUAUCUCUUGAUCAUGAAGAAAAACCAUCCUAGGCAUUGCAAAAGAGUUAGGCAUAGAUCAGUCAGGAAUUAACAGGUUAGUUAAUUUCAAGUGAUUGAGCUUUAAACAGUGUUUGGAUUAUCCCAUGUAAAUGCACCUCAUGCUGUAAAUCACAGUGGUAAAACACAGCGAUUCCUGAGGGUAUAUCAAUC